GACGAACGCUGGCGGCGUGCUUAACACAUGCAAGUCGAACGGAAAGGCCCUGCUUUUGUGGGGUGCUCGAGUGGCGAACGGGUGAGUAACCCGUGAGUAACCUUCCCUUUACUUUGUGAUAACUUCAGGAAACUGGGGCUAAUACCUGCUAGGAGCUCCUGCUGCAUGGUGGGGGUUGGACAGUUUCGGCGGUUGGGGAUGGACUCCCGGCUUAUGAGCUUGUUGGUGGGGUAGUGGCUUACCAAGGCUUUGACGGGUAGCCGGCCUGAGAGGGUGACCGGCGACAUGGGGACUGAGAGAGGGCCCAGACGCGUACGGGAGGCAGCAGGGGGGAAUAUGGCACAAUGGGCGGAAGCGUGAUGCAGCAACGCCGCGUGCGGGAUGAAGGCCUUCGGGUUGUAAACCGCUGUCGCCUGUGACGAAGCGUGAGUGACGGUAAUGGGUAAAGAAGCACCGGCUAACUACGUG
RNAcentral lists this ribosomal RNA (468 nucleotides) under uncultured bacterium. Its description in RNAcentral is "partial 16S ribosomal RNA". It matches the Rfam family "Bacterial small subunit ribosomal RNA", at positions 28 to 507 of the family's 1533-position model. The record is from RNAcentral.